UGGGGAAUAUUGCACAAUGGGCGAAAGCCUGAUGCAGCGACGCCGCGUGAGGGAUGACGGCCUUCGGGUUGUAAACCUCUUUCAGUAGGGACGAAGCGCAAGUGACGGUACCUGCAGAAGAAGCACCGGCUAACUACGUGCCAGCAGCCGCGGUAAUACGUAGGGUGCGAGCGUUGUCCGGAAUUACUGGGCGUAAAGAGCUCGUAGGCGGUUUGUCACGUCGUCUGUGUAAUCCUAGGGCUUAACCCUGGACGUGCAGGCGAUACGGGCUGACUUGAGUACUACAGGGGAGACUGGAAUUUCUGGUGUAGCGGUGGAAUGCACAGAUAUCAGGAAGAACACCGAUGGCGAAGGCAGGUCUCUGGGUAGUAACUGACGCUGAGGAGCGAAAGCAUGGGUAGCGAACAGG
Molecule: ribosomal RNA, 409 nt
Filed under: bacterium
Lineage: Bacteria
Description: partial 16S ribosomal RNA
Rfam family: Bacterial small subunit ribosomal RNA
Source: RNAcentral